Molecule: non-coding RNA, 245 nt
Filed under: Paenibacillus sp.
Lineage: Bacteria; Bacillati; Bacillota; Bacilli; Caryophanales; Paenibacillaceae
Description: T-box sequence
Rfam family: T-box leader
About the family: Uncharged tRNA acts as the effector for transcription antitermination of genes in the T-box leader family. T-boxes are found upstream of many aminoacyl-tRNA synthetase genes and some amino acid biosynthetic genes usually in Gram-positive bacteria.
Source: RNAcentral
AACAACGUGAUGACAGGGACAAGUAAGCAAUGGACUGCACCUUCAGAAAGCCGGUGGCUGAUGUGAACCGGUGGUGCACCUCUGACCGAAUGGACCCUUGAGCGCCGCGAUCGAACGGGCUGAAUAAGCCUUCAGUAGACCGGCCGGCUCUUCCCCGUUAACGGAAGCUAAGGCUGCUUGCCUGUCCCCCAGGGAUGACUUAGGAGCAGCGAAUAAGGGUGGUACCACGGUCUCACGUCCCUUGC